GAGCCAUCUACAUGUAACAAACAGCAAUUGCCGCCGCUGCACCGAAACAUUUCUCUCUAUCGCGCUUAUAGGCUCAUGAGCCAAAUCAUCUUCUACAUUUUUGUCCACAAAAAUGGCUGCGGCCACUCUCUCCGUCCGGCCCAACCGUCUCUAUCUUGAUUGGCCCUUCUCCCGGCCACUGUUUCACCUUCCCAACUCCACCGUAACAAAUACCCAAAUAAAGUCCUUCAAGAAUGAGCCUUGGAGGGCCACAAUCGUCCCCUCGUCUCGCCGCCCUUUCGCGGCGGGUGGCGCGCGAGCCUCUUCCCGAGCCGACGACUCUGCGCCGUCUGAGAUGUCGGUCGAGAACGCUCUCAAGCUUCUCGGUGUUUCCGAGAGCGCGUCUUUCGAUGACAUACUCCGCGCCAAAAAAGCCAUUCUUGCAACGUGCAAGGAUGACCAGGACGCGAUUGCACAGGUUAUUUUUAUUUUUUUUUGUUGGAAUUUAGGAAUUUUGAUGUUUGGCAUAUUUAAUUCUGUGUUUUUUUUUUAAUUAAAAGAAACCCAUUUUGUUCUUCAUUUAAUUUUGAAGUUAUGACUUUAAAAUUUAACGUUUCAAUUUCUUUUCUUGGCUUUCAAUUUGAAUUUUUCAAGAUUGUUAUGUGGUUAUUACAAAACUGAAAUGAUCUUGUCAUUUGUGUGUAGUUCAUCCAUUAUGGGUAGGUAAUUAAUUGGAUUUUGUAUUGUGUUUGAGCAUUGGAUUUGUUUUUGAAGUUGCUGUCUGACUUGCCUAAUGAACUUUGAAUUUCAUUACGCUGCUAAUAGUUAAAACUUGGAACUGUUUAGCUAGUUUGUAUGUUUUGUGUAAUGGAUCCUAUGUGGAAAUCUAGUGUAUAAAGAAUGGAUUAGUGGAAAUUUGAAAUUUCUUCUUUAAAGCUAGUACUUAUCAGUUCUUUUGUAAGAUUGCAUGAUUUUGUAGAUCUUGUUGACUGGAUCUUUUGUAUAAUUUAUUGCCUGUAACUUGCUAUUCUUGAUUUGUGUUGUAUAUUAAGCUUCAAAUUCACCGUCUCAUUUGUCUAUUAUUUGAAGAUUGUUGAAUCGUAUGAAGCUCGCUCGAUCCUGCCAUGUUGUUCAUGAAGUCAUGAUUCAGAGCAUCCGUAAGGCAUUAAAACAUAUUUAAUUUUACCAUUUUACGGUCAGUGCUUGUGUUUAUAUGCAGACCUAACCCAUUAUAAUUCUGCAUGCUAUAAAAAUCGUGUUGAUUCAAGAAGUCCCUUUUGGUGAUAAUUCCAUUAUCUUAACAUAAAUCUGAUUGAAUAUAUAUUGCUUAUUGUCAUGAGCAUUUUUUGUGCCAGGAAAAAGCUUUAUAUUGAUGUUAUUGAUAAGUAGUUUUAUAAUAGUAAAUAUUUCAGAUGAUUUUUUUUUUAUCAAUAUUAGUUAAUUUUUUAUUAGGUUGAGACUGCAUAUGAUAUGUUGCUUAUGCGAAGCUUAACUCAACGUCGGUCUGGAAAAGUUGCAAAUAGUGGCAUCCGGUAUGCAGACGUCAAGCCCCUAAACAGCCCUGGGUUGGGAUCAGUACCUCAGUGGCUGCAGACAACUAUGAAAAAUGCACCCAUUUCAGUGGAGACACCAUCAGCUGGUGAUUUGGGAAUACAAGCAGGAGUUUAUGGAGCUAUGAUGGUUUUAACUUAUGUUAAUGGAGCUACAACAUCAUCUGUGGCAUCUUAUGCUGGGGCUGAUGUUCCUGGGUUGAUAUUAGCUACUAGUUUUGGGGCUUCCUUGUACUUUAUGACCAAAAGGAAUGUGAAGUUAGGUAAUGGUCUCUCUUUAUAUUUAUAUGGUUUUAAUGAAUUUUAAAGGAAUUUUUCUGCAAAAGUUUCACAUCUCUUGAAUUUUUAAUUUUGAAAGGAGUAAUGAUAGCUUACACGAUUCUGAAUGAUGGAAAUUUAACAAUUGCAUAAUUAUGCUUUUUUUUUAAUGUUUAGACAUAUAGGAAAGGGCAGAGUAGUGCCAGGGCAUUGGUGUUUCUCCUCCUGUUCAUUAAAAAAAUGGGGAAAAUAUUCAGGACUUGGCACAUAAUGCAAAUGUUGAACCCAAGUUUAUCUAAGGUGAAAUUGAAUAGCUUACUUCCUGCUGUUGCAGCUGGCUGUACUUGUGAUCAUACAUGAGAACUGCAUAAAGUAAUUUCUUUUCUUAUGAAUUGAGGAAGGCUUCUUGCUGCAGUGUUUUAUGGAAUUUUCUUGUUAUUAGAAGUGAUUUACCUUCUCUUGUUUAGUCUGUUAAUGGUUUUGCCACAUCAGGGUUUCACGUCUUCCCCUCAUUUUGAAGGUCUUCUUUACAUCCUUUCCUGGUGUUUGUUGUUGAGGAAGGAAAGGUAGGCUAAAAUGGUGUUCCCAUAUAAAGAACAUCUAAAUACAACAAUGAUGGUUGCUUGAAACCUUGUGUUUAUGACUUUGUCCGAAGUCAGAAUCCCCCACCUAUAGUUUCCCCCUUCCCUAAAUAGUAAUUUAGGAAAGGUUGAUCUUCAACAUAGUGGUUGAUCUCCUAUGAAAAACACUAAUUCUUAUUGCAAUAGUGGGCAACAAUUUGAUGAAAAGGAAUAAAGAAUGCAAGACUAAAAGGCUACAUGGUCUGCACAAAUUUAGAAACUUCCAAUUUCUUUAGAAAUUCAGAUUGAAUCAAAGAAUUGGGUAUCAUCUAAUAUGAUUUGCUUUCAUGCAUGCAGGGAAGGCCACCGUAAUAACUUUAGGAGGGCUUGUGGCUGGAGCUGUGGUGGGGUCAACAUUAGAGAAUUGGUUGCAGGUGGACGUUGUGCCAUUUCUUGGCAUACACUCCCCUGCUACUGUAGUUAGUGAAUUCAUUCUCUUCUCUCAAUUCUUGGUCUCCCUUUACCUAAGGUAAUAUUAAGAGGAGAUUGUAAUUUGUAAGUGAAACCUGUAAUUAUUCAUUUGCAUGAUCGUACCCGAGCUUUUUUUAUUAGGACGUGUAUCGUUGCAUGUUGUACAAAACUAAAAGUAGAAAGUAGUGAAACUUGAAUAAAUCUGAAAUCUGCUUGAGAAUUGCAAUAAACAUGUACUUGUCUUUGAUAACUUCAUUCUUGGACCUUGGUACAAAUUUACACUUCUUUGCUGAUGUUAAAUGGGAAAGCAUGCAAAUUCUUUUCAAGUUCUGUAAUCUAAAAUCUGAA
RNAcentral lists this unclassified non-coding RNA (3166 nucleotides) under Hevea brasiliensis (rubber tree). Lineage: Eukaryota; Viridiplantae; Streptophyta; Magnoliopsida; Malpighiales; Euphorbiaceae. The record is from RNAcentral.